This is an RNA transcript of Equus caballus (horse), 1378 nucleotides long. It is a transcript of the gene named spermatogenesis associated 3, with no coding region annotated. The record is from RefSeq and is a predicted model, not a curated record. NCBI's taxonomy places the organism in Eukaryota, Metazoa, Chordata, Mammalia, Perissodactyla, Equidae.
UGUCCUUUUAACACCAAAGACAUUCAAAAUGAUAGAGAAACUAAACACCAGCGCCCACCAGCAACUUCCCUAUGUUGGAAGAGUUCCAAGGAAUAACCGGCAUGGAGGCCUUUGGUCAGGACAGGAAGAGGUAGGGCGCAGGGGUAUUGUGACAUGUUUCAGGGAAGGGCAGCUUUUCCCUUGGCCAACGGAGGCUCAGGCCCAGAGGGGCAAGAGAACCGGACCGGGCAUGGAGCCUGGGGCCGAGCCCUUCGUGGCCCCGCAGGACGGGGAGGCCGAGCCACAGCAACAGGCUCCGACCCAGUGCGCAGAGGGACAUGGCCAGGUGCUGCUGCUGGGCGAGCUCUGGAAGCAGGAGGAGUGCUGCCUGACCCUGCAGAACAUUCUGGAGCAGGCCUCGACCGAUCAGCCCGCCGGGCCCUCGUCCAUCCGAGCCACGAGCAGCCACAGCAGCACCAGCAACCGCGCCAGGCGGCGGCCCAAGCGCUCCGGCGACAUCUCGUCGGACAACGCUGACUGCCCGGCCGCCAAGUCCAAGCGCUCCACCCAGAGGCGGCCGUGCGACAGGGGCAAGGCUGCAGACCCGCCCGAGCGCGAGCGCGAGCGCGAGGUGUCUCCGGCUCCGGCCGGGACUCCCGGCCUCGGGGCGGCAGAGGACCCGGCGGCGGGAUGCGCGGCGCCUCCGGAGCAGGGCGCGCGCCUGCUCCUGGUGCUGUGCCGCGCGUCGGCGCUGCGCUCCCAGCUGCCGCGGCUGCAGCUGCUCCUGCAGCAGGUGCACGCCCGGGGCCGCAGCCCGCCCGCCGCGCUGGUCGGGAUCAUCGUGCAGCCGCGGCGCGACGAGGAGGCCGACGCGCGCCGCCGCAUGGAGAGCCUGCUCUGCAGCGCCUUCGCGCCGCACAGCCCCACCGUGGAGGUGCACACGGCCGUGUUCUGCCCCAGCCGCCCCGAGGGCACCCUGGACGUCCAGCGCGCCACCUGCCGAGGGCUUAAGGGCGCGGCGCGGGGCUGCGUCCCCUUCGUGGAUCGGGAGACCCAGACGGAUGGAGACCUACAAGAAAACUCUCCAUUCACCGCAAUUCACGUGCUCCAAGCCCUCGGGACUGUUGCUGUGGCUCUGGGGGCCCUGGGAGCUGCCUACUACAUCACUGAAUCCUUGUGAACAACCCCCAGGCCCGCAGCCCGGCAGCUGAGUGUGGACAGACAGAUGUGUGCUUCCCCUUCCUGGUGCCAGAACUCAUACCCAUCUGUAAAGUGAACAGAGGAAGGACCCUGCACCAGCACCCAGGUUCAUGGCCUCAUCAGCUUUUGACUGGAUGGGCAGAUCCAGAUCCAGUUUCCAUCAAGGAUCUCUCUUGUCACCAAAAUAGAAAAAAAAAAA